CUCACAACGACGCGCUGAAGACGAUCCCUGCUUCCGAUUUUCUGAUCUGACACCCGACCAUCCGGAGAGAUUUGCGAACGAUCACGGCCGUCGAUUUGCAAACGAAGCCCGAUCGCCACGAAACCAGUGCCAUCGCGAAGCUUGAGCUGAGGAGAGUCGGGAUACAUCCUCCGAUCGUCCAUCCUCCGCCGGAGCUCGCC
Molecule: long non-coding RNA, 200 nt
Filed under: Ricinus communis (castor bean)
Lineage: Eukaryota; Viridiplantae; Streptophyta; Magnoliopsida; Malpighiales; Euphorbiaceae
Description: long non-coding RNA (RCOM_LNC002753)
Source: RNAcentral